UACACACCGCCCGUCGCUACUACCGAUUGAAUGGCUUAGGGAAUCCUUCGGAUUGGCUAUUUUUUUCUGGCAACAGAAUUAAACUGCUAAAAAGUUGGGCAAACUUGGUCAUUUAGAGGAAGUAAAAGUCGUAACAAGGUUUCCGUAGGUGAACCUGCGGAAGGAUCAUUAAAGAGUAAGGGUGCUCAGCGCCCGACCUCCAACCCUUUGUUGUUAAAACUACCUUGUUGCUUUGGCGGGACCGCUCGGUCUCGAGCCGCUGGGGAUUCGUCCCAGGCGAGCGCCCGCCAGAGUUAAACCAAACUCUUGUUAUUAAACCGGUCGUCUGAGUUAAAAUUUUGAAUAAAUCAAAACUUUCAACAACGGAUCUCUUGGUUCUCGCAUCGAUGAAGAACGCAGCGAAAUGCGAUAAGUAAUGUGAAUUGCAGAAUUCAGUGAAUCAUCGAAUCUUUGAACGCACAUUGCGCCCCUUGGUAUUCCGAGGGGCAUGCCUGUUCGAGCGUCAUUACACCACUCAAGCUAUGCUUGGUAUUGGGUGCCGUCCUUAGUUGGGCGCGCCUUAAAGACCUCGGCGAGGCCACUCCGGCUUUAGGCGUAGUAGAAUUUAUUCGAACGUCUGUCAAAGGAGAGGAACUCUGCCGAUUGAAACCUUUAUUUUUCUAGGUUGACCUCGGAUCAGGUAGGGAUACCCGCUGAACUUAAGCAUAUCAAUAAGCGGAGGA
This 722-nucleotide ribosomal RNA is filed under the name uncultured fungus. Its description in RNAcentral is "eukaryotic LSU rRNA". The stretch from base 352 to 505 matches the Rfam family "5.8S ribosomal RNA". Lineage: Eukaryota; Fungi. The record is from RNAcentral.